CGCAAGGACAGCGGCGAACGGGUGAGGAACACGUUGGCAUCUGCCCCGAACUCAGGGAUACCUCGUCGAAAGACGAGUUAAUACCGGAUGGUCCCGUAAGGGUAAAGAUUUUUCGGUUCGGGAGGAGCCUGCGUCCUAUCAGCUAGUUGGUGAGGUAAUUGCUCACCGAGGCGAUGACGGGUAGCUGGUCUGAGAGGAUGAUCAGCCACAGGGGAACUGAGACACGGUCCCCACUCCUACGGGAGGCAGCAGUAAGGAAUCUUCCGCAAUGGGCGAAAGCCUGACGGAGCGACACCGCGUGAACGAUGAAGGUCGUAAGAUUGUAAAGUUCUUUUCUGAGGGAAUAAUUCUGAAGGUACCUUAGGAAUAAGCAACUGCUAACUACGUGCCAGCAGCAGCGGUAAUACGUAGGUUGCAAACGUUAUCCGGAAUUACUGGGCGUAAAGCGUCCGGAGGCGGUAAGUUAAGUCGAAUGUUAAAUGCUAUGGCCUAACCAUAGCGCUGCAGUCGAAACUGAUUUACUUUGAGACUUCAAGAAGCAAGUGGAACUCUGUGUGUAGGGGUAAAAUCCGUAGAUACACAGAAGAACACCAAAAGCGAAAGCAGCUUGCUGGGGAAGUUCUGACGCUCAUGGACGAAAGCGUGGGGAGCAAACAGGAUUAGAUACCCUGGUAGUCCACGCCCUAAACUAUGGACACUCGGUGUUGGGGGGCUCGACCCCUUCAGUGCCUAAGCAAACGCGUUAAGUGUCCCGCCUGGGUACUACGAACGCAAGUUUAAAACCCAAAGGAAUAGACGGGGACCCGCACAAGCGGUGGAGCACCUGGUUCAAUUCGAUAGUGAGCGAGGAACCUUACCUAGGCUUGACAUCCCGAGAAUUCUCCGGAAACGGGGAAGUGCCUUUUGGAACUCGGUGACAGGUGCUGCAUGGUUGUCGUCAGCUCGUGCCUUGAGGUGUUCGGUUAAGUCCGUAAACGAGCGCAACCCUUAUUUUAUGUUGUACUUUUCAUAAAAGACUGCCGGCUCUAAGUCGGAGGAAGGUAGGGAUGACGUCAAAUCAGCACGGCCCUUAUGCCUAGGGCUACACAGGUGCUACAAUGGUCGGUAUAACGGGAAGCAAUGGAGCAAUCCGGAGCAAAUCCUUAAAGCCGGCCCAAGUUCGGAUUGAAGGCUGCAACUCGCCUUCAUGAAGCUGGA
RNAcentral lists this ribosomal RNA (1197 nucleotides) under uncultured Candidatus Altimarinota bacterium. Its description in RNAcentral is "bacterial SSU rRNA". It matches the Rfam family "Bacterial small subunit ribosomal RNA", at positions 85 to 1330 of the family's 1533-position model. The record is from RNAcentral. Lineage: Bacteria; Candidatus Altimarinota.